AUGGCUUUUUGAUUGAGGAGACUGAGUCCACAUAUCAAGCUAUAGUUGGGGACAAGAAUGGAGCUGUUCCUGGGAGUUAUUUUGGUGAUUUUGUGGCUUCCAGUGGACUGGGUAAGCAGCCAAAAGAUGGAACAGAGUCCUCAGUCCCUGAACAUCCAGGAGGGUGAGAAGGCCGUUCUGACCUGUAACUGCACAAAUUUUUCUCCAGUGGUCUUCCAGUGGUACCGACAAGAUCUGGGAAGAGGCCUUGUCUUCUUGCUACUAAUCCGUGAAAAUGAGAGUAAAAAACAGACAGGAAGACUGAAGGCCACCUUUGAUAAGACCUUCAAACAGAGUUCCUUUUACAUAACAGAACCCCAGCCUGCAGACUCAGCCACCUACCUCUGUGCUGCAAACACACAGCAGGGUCCUAUCACCUGCUUCCUGUACCCAAACUCUGCUAACAACUCUCGCAGUCAACAGAGCUGCUGGCUGUGCUGA
Non-coding RNA from Herpailurus yagouaroundi (jaguarundi), 480 nucleotides. The record is from the annotation of a RefSeq genome assembly. NCBI's taxonomy places the organism in Eukaryota, Metazoa, Chordata, Mammalia, Carnivora, Felidae.